RNAcentral lists this ribosomal RNA (448 nucleotides) under uncultured Clostridium sp. RNAcentral describes it as "bacterial SSU rRNA". It matches the Rfam family "Bacterial small subunit ribosomal RNA", at positions 355 to 794 of the family's 1533-position model. Lineage: Bacteria; Bacillati; Bacillota; Clostridia; Eubacteriales; Clostridiaceae. The record is from RNAcentral.
UAGGGAGUUUUCGGCAAUGGGGGGAAACCCUGACCGAGCAACGCCGCGUGAGUGAUGAAGGUCCUAUGGAUUGUAAAGCUCUGUUGUAGGGGAAGAAUGAUAGCUUUAGGAAAUGAAAGCUAUUUGACGGUACCUUAUUAGAAAGCCACGGCUAACUACGUGCCAGCAGCCGCGGUAAUACGUAGGUGGCGAGCGUUAUCCGGAAUUAUUGGGCGUAAAGAGUGAGCAGGCGGCAGGAUAAGUUCGAAGUGAAAGCGUGGGGCUCAACCCCAUACAGCUUUGAAAACUGUCCAGCUAGAGUGCGAGAGAGGUAAGCGGAAUUCCAUGUGUAGCGGUGAAAUGCGUAGAUAUAUGGAGGAACACCAGUGGCGAAGGCGGCUUACUAGCUCGAUACUGACGCUCAGUCACGAAAGCGUGGGGAGCAAAUAGGAUUAGAUACCCUGGUAGU